This 198-nucleotide ribosomal RNA is filed under the name uncultured bacterium. RNAcentral's name for it is "partial 16S ribosomal RNA". It matches the Rfam family "Bacterial small subunit ribosomal RNA", at positions 328 to 539 of the family's 1533-position model. The record is from RNAcentral.
ACGCUCGACACCUACGGGGGGCAGCAGUGGGGAAUAUUGCACAAUGGGGGAAACCCUGAUGCAGCGACGCCGCGUGGAGGAAGAAGGUCUUCGGAUUGUAAACUCCUGUUGUUGGGGAAAAAGAGGAUGGUACCCAACAAGGAAGUGACGGCUAACUACGUGACAGCAGCCGCGGUAAUCUGAGCGGGCUGGCAAGGC